Molecule: ribosomal RNA, 399 nt
Filed under: uncultured bacterium
Lineage: Bacteria
Description: bacterial SSU rRNA
Rfam family: Bacterial small subunit ribosomal RNA
Source: RNAcentral
CUGGGCUCGAAAUGCAGAUGACAUCCGGUGAAAGCCGGCUCCCGCAAGGGCAUCUGUAUAGGUGCUGCAUGGCUGUCGUCAGCUCGUGUCGUGAGAUGUUGGGUUAAGUCCCGCAACGAGCGCAACCCUCGUCCUCUGUUGCCAUCAGGUCAAGCUGGGCACUCUGAGGAGACUGCCGGUGAUAAACCGGAGGAAGGUGGGGAUGACGUCAAGUCAGCAUGGCCUUUAUGUCCAGGGCCACACACGUGCUACAAUGGCGGAUACAAAGCGCUGCAAACUCGCGAGAGUGAGCCAAUCGCAUAAAGUCCGUCUCAGUUCGGAUUGUAGGCUGCAACUCGCCUGCAUGAAGUUGGAAUCGCUAGUAAUCGCGGAUCAGCAUGCCGCGGUGAAUACGUUCCC